AUGAGAGUAACGAAGGGAGAGGUUCAGGACUGCGUGGCUUGGCACCAUGAGAAAUCAGGGAUAUUUACAGUUAGGAGCGCUUACAAACUCGCGGACUCUUUGAAGAGGAACAACAGCGCAUCAGCCUCUAGUUCUAUAAGCGAGCCGGAUGACCGUAAAGUUUGGGAUGCCAUCUGGAAAGCGAAGAUACCAAGCAAAAUUAAAAUAUUUGGUUGGAGAGCAGCCACCAACUCGCUAGCCACCAAACAUAAUGCUUGUAAAAGAACCAUUGCUACGGAUGAUGUAUGUGAGAUUUGUGGCAUGGGCAGGGAGGACGAAUUUCAUGCUAUCAUUGCAUGCACCAGGAGUCUGGCGUUAAGGCACGCAAUGAGAGAAUUCUGGGCUCUCCCAAAAGAAUCGGAGUGGAGAAAUACGGGACCGGAUUGGCUGCAGAUGCUGUUAAUUGCAAAUCCCGAGGAAGUCAGGAGGAAAAUCAUGUUGGUCCUAUGGCAGUCGUGGAAUCUGCGGAACAAUGUCAUUCAUGGUGAUGGAAAAGAGACAGUAUCGGGGGCGGUGCAGGGACUACUGAGGUUACAUGCGGAUCUGAUAGUAGCUGACGACGAUCCACUUGAGGAGAGGAAUAAAAACAAGCUUUCAACAUUCCCAACCAGGGCCAGUGUUUCUCUAAAGCCGGGUGCAACCAACUGGGCGGCUCCUGCUGCAGAUACAGUGAAGUUGAACACUGACGCUGCUUUUCUGCAUGAUACUGGUGAGGCCUGGGGAGGUGCAGUAGCCAGAGACCACCUGGGUCGGGUGCUCAUGUCCAUCGGCAAACGCCUAGAAUGCUGCCACUCAGUAGAAGAAGCAGAGGGUGCAGCUGUCGAGCUGGGAAUAACCACUUGUGCGGGUCUGUUCAGAGGACGUAUUAUCCUAGAAACAGACUGUGCGAACAUUGGUGGACUGCUCCAAUCGAACAGAAGGGGAGUGCAGAUCAGCCUGCCAUGCAGUCCUGUCCAAUGCCAAAAGGCAGCUGUCCGCUUUCUCCAGUUGGGAAGUGAGCGUCGUCAACCGCACCAAAAAUUCCUUGGCUCAUGCUUUAGCUGCUAUAGCUAG
RNAcentral lists this ribosomal RNA (1092 nucleotides) under Triticum aestivum (bread wheat). RNAcentral describes it as "partial small subunit ribosomal RNA". The record is from RNAcentral. Lineage: Eukaryota; Viridiplantae; Streptophyta; Magnoliopsida; Poales; Poaceae.